Molecule: small nuclear RNA, 102 nt
Filed under: Nicotiana sylvestris (wood tobacco)
Lineage: Eukaryota; Viridiplantae; Streptophyta; Magnoliopsida; Solanales; Solanaceae
Also listed under: 1 other name
Description: U2 spliceosomal RNA
Rfam family: U2 spliceosomal RNA
About the family: U2 is a small nuclear RNA (snRNA) component of the spliceosome (involved in pre-mRNA splicing). Complementary binding between U2 snRNA (in an area lying towards the 5' end but 3' to hairpin I) and the branchpoint sequence (BPS) of the intron results the bulging out of an unpaired adenosine, on the BPS, which initiates a nucleophilic attack at the intronic 5' splice site, thus starting the first of two transesterification reactions that mediate splicing.
Source: Rfam by way of RNAcentral
AUACAUUUCUCAGCCUUUUGGCUAAGAUUAAGUUCAGAAUCUGUUCUGAUCAGUUUAAUAUCUGAUGAUAUUAACUCAAUAUGUCAAACAGACUGAACAAAA